UUUUAGCACUGUAGAGACGCAAUACUUUGCGUCUAUUUUAUGCAUCGCAGGAAAAUUGCAGGGGGGAGACGCAAAGUAUUGCGUCUCUACGGGAAUGCUG
Molecule: small RNA, 100 nt
Filed under: Mucilaginibacter yixingensis
Lineage: Bacteria; Pseudomonadati; Bacteroidota; Sphingobacteriia; Sphingobacteriales; Sphingobacteriaceae
Description: Flavo-1 RNA
Source: RNAcentral